GGUGGUGCAUGGUUGUCGUCAGCUCGUGUCGUGAGAUGUUGGGUUAAGUCCCGCAACGAGCGCAACCCUUGAGCUUAGUUGCCAUCAUUAAGUUGGGCACUCUAAGUUGACUGCCGGUGACAAACCGGAGGAAGGUGGGGAUGACGUCAAAUCAUCAUGCCCCUUAUGAUUUGGGCUACACACGUGCUACAAUGGACAAUACAAAGGGCAGCGAAACCGCGAGGUCAAGCAAAUCCCAUAAAGUUGUUCUCAGUUCGGAUUGUAGUCUGCAACUCGACUACAUGAAGCUGGAAUCGCUAGUAAUCGUAGAUCAGCAUGCUACGGUGAAUACGUUCCCGGGUCUUGUACAC
This 350-nucleotide ribosomal RNA is filed under the name uncultured Staphylococcus sp. Its description in RNAcentral is "bacterial SSU rRNA". It matches the Rfam family "Bacterial small subunit ribosomal RNA", at positions 1037 to 1388 of the family's 1533-position model. The record is from RNAcentral. Lineage: Bacteria; Bacillati; Bacillota; Bacilli; Caryophanales; Staphylococcaceae.